RNAcentral lists this ribosomal RNA (469 nucleotides) under uncultured bacterium. Its description in RNAcentral is "bacterial SSU rRNA". It matches the Rfam family "Bacterial small subunit ribosomal RNA", at positions 335 to 799 of the family's 1533-position model. The record is from RNAcentral.
ACUCCUACGGGAGGCAGCAGUGAGGAAUAUUGGUCAAUGGUCGCAAGACUGAACCAGCCAUGCCGCGUGCAGGAAGACGGUCCUAUGGAUUGUAAACUGCUUUUAUACAGGAAGAAACCCUCCCACGUGUGGGAGCUUGACGGUACUGUAGGAAUAAGGAUCGGCUAACUCCGUGCCAGCAGCCGCGGUAAUACGGAGGAUCCAAGCGUUAUCCGGAAUCAUUGGGGUUUAAAGGGUCCGUAGGCGGCCUUAUAAGUCAGUGGUGAAAGCCCAUCGCUCAACGAUGGAACUACCAUUGAUACUGUAAGGCUUGAAUUAUUGUGAAGUAACUAGAAUAUGUAGUGUAGCGGUGAAAUGCUUAGAUAUUACAUGGAAUACCAAUUGCGAAGGCAGGUUACUAACAAUGGAUUGACGCUGAUGGACGAAAGCGUGGGGAGCGAACAGGAUUAGAUACCCUGGUAGGAUAGCG